CAGUCGCCGCGGUAAUGCGUAGGGUGCGAGCGUUAAUCGGAAUUACUGGGCGUAAAGCGUGCGCAGGCGGUUGUGUAAGACAGGUGUGAAAUCCCCGGGCUUAACCUGGGAACUGCGCUUGUGACUGCACAGCUAGAGUAUGGCAGAGGGGGGUGGAAUUCCACGUGUAGCAGUGAAAUGCGUAGAGAUGUGGAGGAACACCGAUGGCGAAGGCAGCCCCCUGGGCCAAUACUGACGCUCAUGCACGAAAGCGUGGGGAGCAAACAGGAUUAGAUACCCCUGUAGUCCCUGUCUCUUAUAC
RNAcentral lists this ribosomal RNA (301 nucleotides) under uncultured bacterium. RNAcentral's name for it is "partial 16S ribosomal RNA". It matches the Rfam family "Bacterial small subunit ribosomal RNA", at positions 509 to 807 of the family's 1533-position model. The record is from RNAcentral.